UUUCCAAUUUCGCUUAAUCUCCCGGCAGGGAGAGCGGGGGAACCAAACGAUGGUUCGCACUUGAUUGUUUGCAUCGUACAUAGAGAUGCGAAAGGCAAGGGCCGUGUCGGUAAAUUCCUUGGGGUGAAUUGCAAGUGUUGCCACGAGCAGGGCAAUGACUUGCAUAGGGCAGCUCUCUUAGCCCGAACCCGGCAGCUAACCUCGCAAGCGCAUAAAAGAGAGAUC
This 225-nucleotide small RNA is filed under the name Paenibacillus beijingensis. Its description in RNAcentral is "c-di-AMP sequence". It matches the Rfam family "c-di-AMP riboswitch aptamer (ydaO/yuaA leader)". From Rfam's summary of the family: This family represents a conserved RNA structure found upstream of the ydaO and yuaA genes in Bacillus subtilis and related genes in other bacteria. The ydaO/yuaA element is thought to act as a genetic "off" switch for the ydaO and yuaA genes in its native state. Lineage: Bacteria; Bacillati; Bacillota; Bacilli; Caryophanales; Paenibacillaceae. The record is from Rfam by way of RNAcentral.